Small nucleolar RNA from Mustela lutreola (European mink), 145 nucleotides. RefSeq annotates it as small nucleolar RNA SNORA67. NCBI's taxonomy places the organism in Eukaryota, Metazoa, Chordata, Mammalia, Carnivora, Mustelidae. The transcript has a single exon. The record is from RefSeq and is a predicted model, not a curated record.
AUCCAACCUGAUUCCCUCUCCAGGUGGUCUGAUCAAGCCCCUCAGUUCAGGAAAGUAGCAAUUUGGAAGAAAAUCAGGCAUGCCUGAGGUUGCUGGGGGGGAGGGCAUGUUUGUUUCCUUUGCCUUCCUUUGGCUGCCUACACUC